RNAcentral lists this ribosomal RNA (484 nucleotides) under uncultured bacterium. RNAcentral's name for it is "partial 16S ribosomal RNA". It matches the Rfam family "Bacterial small subunit ribosomal RNA", at positions 30 to 507 of the family's 1533-position model. The record is from RNAcentral.
AUUGAACGCUGGCGGCAGGCCUAACACAUGCAAGUCGAGCGGAUGAAGGGAGCUUGCUCCUGGAUUCAGCGGCGGACGGGUGAGUAAUGCCUAGGGAUCUGCCUGGUAGUGGGGGAUAACGUCCGGAAACGGGCGCUAAUACCGCUUACGUCCUGAGGGAGAAAGUGGGGGAUCUUCGGACCUCACGCUAUCAGAUGAGCCUAGGUCGGAUUAGCUAGUUGGUGGGGUAAAGGCCUACCAAGGCGACGAUCCGUAACUGGUCUGAGAGGAUGAUCAGUCACACUGGAACUGAGACACGGUCCAGACUCCUACGGGAGGCAGCAGUGGGGAAUAUUGGACAAUGGGCGAAAGCCUGAUCCAGCCAUGCCGCGUGUGUGAAGAAGGUCUUCGGAUUGUAAAGCACUUUAAGUUGGGAGGAAGGGCAGUAAGUUAAUACCUUGCUGUUUUGACGUUACCAACAGAAUAAGCACCGGCUAACUUCGUG